GAGGAAUAUUGGUCAAUGGACGCAAGUCUGAACCAGCCACGUCGCGUGAAGGAAGACGGCCCUACGGGUUGUAAACUUCUUUUAUACGGGAAUAAAGUGCCCCACGUGUGGGGUUUUGCAUGUACCGUAUGAAUAAGGAUCGGCUAACUCCGUGCCAGCAGCCGCGGUAAUACGGAGGAUCCGAGCGUUAUCCGGAUUUAUUGGGUUUAAAGGGUGCUCAGGCGGGGGGUUAAGUCGGCGGUGAAAUUUUGCAGCUCAACUGUAAAAGUGCCUUCGAAACUGGUUCCCUUGAGUGCGGAUGAGGUAGGCGGAAUUUGUGGUGUAGCGGUGAAAUGCAUAGAUAUCACGAGGAACUCCGAUUGCGCAGGCAGCUUACCAAGCCGUAACUGACGCUCAAGCACGAAGGCGUGGGGAUCAAACA
Molecule: ribosomal RNA, 421 nt
Filed under: uncultured Proteiniphilum sp.
Lineage: Bacteria; Pseudomonadati; Bacteroidota; Bacteroidia; Bacteroidales; Dysgonomonadaceae
Description: bacterial SSU rRNA
Rfam family: Bacterial small subunit ribosomal RNA
Source: RNAcentral